GGCCUGGCUGGCACAUGAUGCUUUCUGUUCAAAACAAUGAUGUUGCAAGGCAAGGCUUUAAAGUCCUGUUGGGAAACACGGGUAGCUGGGGCUGUGGGUGGUGGGGAGAGGAGCAACCUUCAUCCAGGGAUGCUUGAAAGCAAAGGAGCCCCCAGCCCGGGCCGGGCAGGCAGAGCCCGAGCUCUGCACAGCGGGAGAGGUCGCUCCUGGAGCCAAGGUAGAUCCAGCCCUUGCUGGAGGACGGGGACAGAGAGAGGCCAAGAAGGUCUUGCAGAGGAGACUCAACCUGGAACAGGCAAAGGAAAUGAAAGCUGUGCAGAAAACACCUGGGUAAAUGCCCUGUCACCCUUGUGCCUCGCAGUCUGCUUCAGGCUCUUCCAAAGCUGCUCUGUUGCUGGCCAGAGGCUGCUGAUCAAAGGGAAGCCAAAGGAGAGCCACACCACUGUUUCUCUGGGCGGCGAAGCCCGGCGCUGCGCAGUGCACAGGAUCUGGCCCCUCUGGCAUAGGGCCAGGAGCACCCUGGCUGCUCUGAUAGGCAUCGUCCUCCCUGGGAACCUGCAGCUCCCUGCGUGGAUGAGUCACGAGCCCAAGCAGUGAAAGCCAGUAAUCCGAAACACAUGUUGUUCAAAUUCAGUGAUGACUGUAAAAAUAAGGGUCCAAUUUCUCUGGCUGCCGAGCCUCCCACGUUAACCAAAGUGCUCCAGUUUCCUGCCUGAUGGCAAGGGUGACCUUCCACACAGUGACCCAGCGCUCUCCAAGGAGCCUGGGGCACAGCAGGAAGAAUAAAGGGUAGCGAGAACUUGCAUAACUCCCAUCCAGCCCGCCAGGAAAACAAGGGGCUGGUUGGGAUUUGCAUUGCGGGCCUUUUAUGUUGGCUUUUUUGUGUGUGUGACGGUGGAAAUUAGCUCCCCUGCUCCUGGCUGAGGGUGCCUGGAGCCUCCCCUGGCUGGGAAAAAAAAACUCCAGGGUGUAAGGGGGGGAACCCGGCCAAGCUGUGACCCCAAAGGUGACCCCACAGCCGGGUGCUGGCCUCCACCCCAUAGGGGCUUGGGUGCACCGGGGCUGCCGGUGGUCUGCCCACGGGGGCUCUGUGCUGGCCGGGGAGCGAGGAUGGGAACGGAGCCCGGGGACGUGGCCACUCUCAUGGCACAUCUGGAUCUCGCUGCAACCAUUUCCACGUUUCUGACUCACCCCGCUUGGAAAUUUGUCUCCGCUCAGGAGGAAAUUCCAUCAAACGCAGAAAUCUUUGCGAACACACUGACGGAGGUGUCCCUGGCGCUGGGGCUGGACAAGGCUGGUGCUCAGCAGCCCGGGACAGCCCCGUUGCAGCGCUUUGCCUUGCCGGGAGCCUCCUGCACCGUGCUCAGCACCAGCGGGGCGGUGGGGCUGGGGGCACAACAAACCCAGCUGCCGAGCAAACGUCGGGGUUGAGUGACUCAAAGCGGUCGGUGGCUCUGAGCCCCUGCUGCCAGCUCAAGGUUUUGGGUCCAAUCCAGCCCGGCUGGAGGUGCUGUGGCUCUGGGCAGGCUGCAGGAGCCGCCCAGUCCCUUGCUGCCUUGCAGCGAGGCUGGGAACCCCACAGCCCCGCCGCAGCCCAGGUCUCCGUCCAGCAGAGCCGCGCUUGGGAAGAGUGUGGAUAAGUGAACCCAGCACGUGGCUGCUUUAGCUGGCAGAACCAUUUCACCAGCAGGGCUGUGUCUGCGGGUGUGUGACACAUAAAUCGCUGCUGUGACCUGGUCGGAGCAGAGACCGAGGCAGGUCGGGAGCCCGGCUCUGGCUGGGACGGCUGCCAGCGCCUGUCUGGGUGAGAUGUGCUGGCUGCGCUCAGCUGGGGUCGGUGGGAAAUCCCUGCUGGAUGCCUCCUGACCUCCACUGGAACACAGCAAUUGUUCCUCUGGAAAAUCUAAAUUUAUCCCUGCGACGGUGACGGCAUAAUUCACACAUGCCCCAUUCCCCUUUCAUUGGAGUCUCCCUCACGCCUGCUCUUUCUAACAAUAAAGCGACGCUGUGAGCAACCUUCCCGUCAAUUCGCAUCCCUCCCAGCCCUCCCGGUGACGUGAGCGCAGGGCUGAGCAGCUGCAGGAAUGCAAUCUGAGUUCAGACGGGGCUGAACUUUCGCACAGUGACCCAGGGGUCAGCGUGGGAAGGAGAGGGAUGGAGCAUGGCAGAGAACAAAGACGCUCAUCGCAGCCCGCACGCCUGGUGUGGUGCUGUGCCCGGGCACUGCCUCUCUGCUUGGGCUGGGGACACCACAGGGAAGGGAGGGUGCAAGGAAUAAAAUGCAAGUCACUCACUGAAAGAAGAAAUCUGGGGGAUGAAGGACCGCAG
RNAcentral lists this long non-coding RNA (2328 nucleotides) under Cairina moschata (Muscovy duck). RNAcentral's name for it is "domestica (muscovy Duck (domestic type)) lncRNA (ENSCMMG00000003934.1)". The record is from RNAcentral. Lineage: Eukaryota; Metazoa; Chordata; Aves; Anseriformes; Anatidae.